This 119-nucleotide small nucleolar RNA is filed under the name Echinops telfairi (small Madagascar hedgehog). RNAcentral describes it as "Small nucleolar RNA SNORA61 (ENSETEG00000026274.1)". Lineage: Eukaryota; Metazoa; Chordata; Mammalia; Afrosoricida; Tenrecidae. The record is from RNAcentral.
ACCCUCCAGAUUACUUACCUCUCAGAUAUAAACACUGGUCUGAGUGGCUCAAAAGAUGGAAAAGUAUAACUAAAGUGGACUUGGAAUUUUUAUGACUUACAAAUUCAUUUAACAAUAAA